Molecule: non-coding RNA, 23 nt
Filed under: Cricetulus griseus (Chinese hamster)
Lineage: Eukaryota; Metazoa; Chordata; Mammalia; Rodentia; Cricetidae
Source: RNAcentral
CAAAGAAGGAACUCCGGACCUUG